Solea senegalensis (Senegalese sole) is the source of this 72-nucleotide long non-coding RNA. RefSeq lists it as uncharacterized. The transcript is spliced from 3 exons. NCBI's taxonomy places the organism in Eukaryota, Metazoa, Chordata, Actinopteri, Pleuronectiformes, Soleidae. The record is from RefSeq and is a predicted model, not a curated record.
AUAAUUAUAGUAGUGUCCAGCUCACCAACAGACACACACACACACACACACACACACACACACACACGUUCA